UUUUAAAUUCCCAAAUGAAGUCAAUCAGCAGAAAGAUGUAUUUGCAGGAGUAUCUUUUACAACAGCCACUGUCUAUGUAUCUCACUGUAUGUCUAAUUCUUCCAGUAUAUCCCAAAAUUGAAAUUUCAUUGGAAGAUGCAGUCAUGGAAGAACACAGUGCCUGAAACAGUCUGUUGUGAUCCCAGUACACCUGAUCUGCACCUGAUUGUCUCUGGUUGCAGCUGGUCAUAGUUGAAGGGUCCCUCAGUGCUGUGGGAUCUCUCAAGAGAAUAGAUCAUUAUGACUUACCUGCAGUCUGUUGAGACAGCAUCAAAUAGAAAUCUCUUCUUAUGUGCCAUUAGGGACAAACAUGAGUGCCAGAAAUGCUUGACCCCAAGGUUCCUAGCUCUGAAAUUUUCUCCCAUUGGAAAUCUACUCUGCAGGACAAGCUUCCUGGCAGCAGAUAAGCCCUCCCGAUCUGGACCAAAGUGUGCUGGUGUCAUUUUGAGAGAGGCUUGCUCCAAAGACAUCACUAUAGCUGGGGAGGAAAAGCCUACCUCAUCCUCAAGAUAUUUCCCUCAUCCUAUAUAUCCUAUGGAAUCUUACUGGAAGCUAAUCCCUCUUCAACUUCAUAGGAAAAAGAGAUUUUACAAUCUUCUGUUUGUUCACUGUGCCAAAUGUGCUUGAAGAACUCCAUCGCUCUGAAUAAGUGCCAAACACGAUGAUGAACUGCAUCACCCCUUGGAGAUCACACACAGGGAGGGUUCUGCAGCAACAAGUCCCUCUGAGCAAUACUCUUGCAGACUAACAAUAAAAGUUUCAUGAGCGCAAACAUCACGUACUAAUGUUGACACUUACUAGUGACUAAAGCAUAAAUGACAUGCAGCGCAGUUGCCUUGAUAUCCUGUAUUCUGACCAGAUUUAGCUCAUCUUCCUGCAUAAUUUCCUUUGUCUUGUUUGUAGUUCUUUUUCUCCUUAAUUGCUGCUCUAGCCUGUCUUUAUAAAUUGCAUUCCCACAUGUUUACUUGUCAGGGGCACACAGUCGCCAUGUGACAGGACGUGUGUGCUCAAAACUGACAACGUGUGUGGAUCAAAGCCAGCAAGGCAAAGAAAAAAGCUUCAUAAACAAUGCUGUAAAUAACAUCUGGGCUGCCCAAAUAUGGAAGAACAUGAUAGUUUUUCCUCUUUGUUGUUAUUUUGUUUUGUCAUGGACAUCUCCCUAUAGAUAUAAACAAGUCUGAAGUCAGUAAUUAUGGUACAGAUUAUUUUGAGCUAAUUCUCAUCACCAAAUGCGUACAACAAUGUGCUGCAGACGGAAAAAACAGACAAGGUGAAGUGAAACUUCAGGAAGCGAAUGAAUCAGUGUUGCAGAACAAAGCCAGAAAAAAAGAAACCCAGCCAAUUAAGAGAAAUACACAGAAAAUGAUUAAAAGAAGUUCAGUUUAAACAUCCUCAUCUCAUCCUGCUACAUAAGAUAUUGACACACAGUUUUUCCAACUUAUUUGAGUAUCAGAAAUUGGAAUACAAAGGAGAAAUUGUUAAAGCCUCGUAAGAGUAGAGUAGAGUUCAGACAAAAUCAGUCCUGGGUCUGAAAACGUUCUUACUCCUGUUUUAUUGUCUAAAUCAAACUUGAACUGGAUACUGCUUUGCUAGGAUUACUUGCUGCAGGUGUUGAACCUAAGUUGUUGCUGUUGCUUUGGCAAGCUGUACAAAGAGAUGGGUAAGCAAUUCAUUUGCCCACAGCCCCAGGGUUAUCAGCCACUGGCUUUUGUCUGGAAUCAGUAGACAGAUGUGUGCUGUGUAAAUUAAGCUCCUCCAGUGGGCAGUGAGCUUGUGGUAAUACAGUAAAAUGGGAAUUAUAUAUAUUUUUUUUCCAACUUUUUCUGUUGGAGACUUUCCCUUUCUUUGUACAGAGUCCAGCCCUACAGAGCCUGCUUUUGGUUGGAGCCUCAUAAAGGCAGCACUAAAGCCAAACAACUCCUAGCUGGAUGAAUUUGUUUGAAUGCCUAGAUCUGUGUAUUCAAGCACCCUUUAGUUUCUGUUAAGAUAUUUAAGUGUAAAAACAAGCUAGAUAAUGAAGAAAUGUGUUCAGCUUACAGUAUCCUCCCUUCCGAAAAGUAAAUGGCUAUUUCUUUGUGCUAGAUAUAACCUAAAGUGGCGAGAAAACCUAUAGGCUUUCCCUCAGUUAUCAUGGUUUCACAUUAUUGGAUUUCUUUGUGUGUGAAUACGAGAUCAGGCAUACCCAGGACAGCCUACUUUUUAAGGACCGUAUUAACAUAUCACUAAGUCUUUCCUGUGAUUUAAACAGAACUGUACUGGGUUCUGACCUAAAUUUCACAAAAAAAUGCCAUGGUAUCCAAGAGGAUGCAAGUAGCUUAUGGCAUUGCUUGUUGCAUAGAUGCAGAAAGAAAUUCCAAUUGUCAUUCAGCAGGCAACACUUCUUAUACCAACACCUCCGUGCUUCAGGCUGGCAGCAAGCUGUGUACAAGAGCCCUGCUGAUGCUGCUAAAAGCUCUUCAUCAGUCUGGGUUCCAUCCCAGCCUCAUCAUAAAACAGGAGCUUGAAGCUAAGUGAUAAAAAGAAGGUUAAAAUUUCUGUUUUCCAUUAAAUCCUGUAUUAAACAUCAGUAAACUACAGGAGAGAAUGUUUUUAGUAUAGGUCUCAGUGAAUCCCCACAUCAACUAUGAAUCCAGUAAAUGAGUAUGAUUCAGCUAAGAUGAUCAAGCACUGUGACUUUGGGAGUUUCUGAUGCUUUGCGAUGGUAAUUUUUAUUCAGAUAGUUCAUGUGUCUGUAAACAUUUCCCCAGUCAUUAAAAACAUAUUGUCUCUUUUUCAGCAACUUAUAACACAUUUUUAGGAUACCACUAUGUAUACAAAUAAGGAUUUCAAGCAUGGUCAAUCUGACCUAGUCUCCUUGAACAGCAUUUCUAAUACUGUGAAGGCAAAAUAUGUGCCAUUUACAAAGUAUUCAAGUUAAUAAUAUAACACACAUGUACUAUCCCCUAAAUCUUCAAGCAAGCAGGUUCAAAUUUUAUUUCUACUAUAGCACAGAUGCUGAUCCUUGUAAAGAAUUGUUAUAUUAAAACCAGGCACAAGGAAGUAAGUGGGACAAUUUAGAAGUGCAGAGUCUGCUUGAGGAGAACCCGCUAUGGUCUUCACAGAUGUUAAAGGUGUUAGAAGACUGCGUAAGGAGGCUAUCUGUCCAUAAAAUCAGGUGACUGUAGCUCAACCACUCCUUCCAGAACGUUUGAUGGCUUACCAGUAUUUGUACCAUGUAUCUUUUAUCUGUAAGUGUCUGGGUAGAACAGAUAUGUGAUUCUAUAAUCAGGAAUGUUCUGUCAUGCCACCUACAUAGGGAAAUAGUGAAUUUAAGGUAGCAGCAUCUCCUGAAGUUCCCCAUUGUGUGAUCAAACUGUUUGCCUCUUCCCUGGUCUGCUUAAAUAAAUCAACUCUCAUCAGCUCUCACAUACGCAGCAGUGUACAUAAGUAGUUGAAGCGAAGCAGUGUUAGAGUGAAAUUCAGCACAGAUUAAUUUUUUUGUUUUUUUUUUAAAGAAGUUCAAACCAGCCUGUCUUUCAAAGCCUGCCCAAUGAAUCAUUUUUGGAGAGCAACUGGCACCACAGCUGUUCUGUGUGACUCAAGCUGUUUCAGAGGAAGUAGAAGAUGGGUAAGGGACCGGGCACAGAAAACUCAGUCUUGCAGUUUAUCAUUUGGACUCAUUUGUUUCUCAGCUUAGUGCAUCUGCUCUAUGGUAUAUGCAGAAAAUCUGUUUCCAAGAAAUGAGUUUUUAAGGAGUGUUGCAGAGCUUGGGCAAUGACUGGACUUGGACAGUAGGGAACCAUGAGAAGCAAAGAGCUCAUCUCCAUGCUUUCUUCAUGUCAGUAACACUGUUUCCAUAUUGCACUCUUCCUGAUGAUAGGGAAGCUCUGAUAUUUUGUAAAGGAAGAAGAGUGUUUGAUACUGUCACUGAUCAAACUUUCCUUAAACAUUAACAUAAAAAUAAUUCUUACUGGCAUCACAUAAAAAGAAAAACUAUAUUUGGGGUAAUUUUGUUUAUUUUUUACCUGAUAAACAUUAAAUUCCGGUGUUGACAGAGAAACACCGAUGAAUGAAAAUGAUAACAUCUUACU
Long non-coding RNA from Tympanuchus pallidicinctus (lesser prairie-chicken), 4109 nucleotides. RefSeq lists it as uncharacterized. Lineage: Eukaryota; Metazoa; Chordata; Aves; Galliformes; Phasianidae. The transcript is spliced from 3 exons. The record is from RefSeq and is a predicted model, not a curated record.